Seriola aureovittata is the source of this 6956-nucleotide long non-coding RNA. RefSeq lists it as uncharacterized. Lineage: Eukaryota; Metazoa; Chordata; Actinopteri; Carangiformes; Carangidae. The record is from RefSeq and is a predicted model, not a curated record. The transcript is spliced from 7 exons.
ACAGAAGCACAUACAGAGAAGCUGCAGUGAACGAGUGGAGCGUGUGUUGAAGACCAAUAUGGAGUUUUUUGACUGACCCGUCCAUUUGACCUGAAGGGAAAAAGCAUGUGGAAAAUCAUCUCACCUUGUGCUGGCUGAAUGACUGACAGAGUUAUCAAAGAAACAGAAGAGAGAAAAACAGCUGCCUGGAGAAACAGUGUGAUAGCUUAUUGAAAGGCUGCUGGAGGAUUGUAUCUGAGGGCAGAUGUCUGAGCUGAAAUGGACGGACAAAGAAACCAGGUGGGGACUUUUGUAGAGUUUGGCAGCCCUGUCCCAGCAGAUAAGUCCAAGGCUGAAUUUCUUUCCCAGUCCACCCACGGAACCAACGUUGCUCUGGAUUUACCGAGAUGGAGAGCCCUACAGGCCGCUAAAGGGCUCCACUCUGUCUCUGAACUGGCUUUUCUUCUCGUCAAUGCGUCAGAGCGGCUGCGACUCAUGCGCCAAUUGCUGCCAAGGCAGGGAAGGAUUCUUAGAAAGAGAAAGGCAAGUGUUAUUCUAACACUACCAGUAUCAUUGCCCUUAGGGAUAUGGUGAGGUAUGUUAAUUAAUACAUAAAUCAUAAAUUAUCAUCAUUCCUUAGACUGGGGAACAUGAGCUUCAGACAGUGUGUGUGUGUGUGUGUGUGUGUGCGCGCGCGCGCAUGUUUUUUUGGAUGACUCUGAAUUUGGAAUAGAAGGAGGAGGGGAAAAAAAAAACCUGCUGGUCUCCUCCCGUUCUUCGCCCUCCCUGCCCACACCAGCCCCCCGAGGAGGUGAUCGGACGCGUCUGUUUCCCGGAGAUAAAGGGCUGCUCACCACAUCCCCAGAGCUGGGAGAAGUUGGCACAGAGCACGCUGGCAGUCUGCUCAUGUAACAGACCCUGUCACUGACACUGAGAGAGAGAGAGAGACAGAGAGAGACUGACGGUGAGACAGAGUGGCGGGUGAAAUGGGCUAAAUAAGAGAAGAAAAGGUAGGUGAGAUGUUAAAGGGGUGCUGUCUGGCUCUGCACCAAGAAAAAGAAAAAAAAAUCAUUCAUGGAAACAAGUGUUCACAACAAAACAUAGAAUCCUUACAUUGGAAUUGCAAUGUCAAAAAAAGAAAAUUGUGUUACUUGGAUUCAAAAUGGUACAAAAUUUGUACAAUCAAUCAGUUCUGCUGAACAAAGUAGAGGUUUCACCUAUUGAAUCAAUUGCAACUUUUACAAUUAACUGUCAUCUUGGAUCAUUCACUAAAUUUGACAACACAUGGGGAGCUCAAUGGCCAAAUAGGUCCUCUUACCUGAAUGACAAAAUAGAUGUCUGUCUGUGUCGCCCAAAACAAUCCAUACCAACAUUUCAGAAAUGACUCAGGGGAGCGUUUGCUCAACUUCUACUGCUAUGGUUAAGUUAUAGUUAGCCUAUACUUCAACAUGUUUGGAAUUAUUUGCUUUCUUGCUGUUAGUUAAAUGAGGAGAUUGCAACAAGUCUUCCAAACUGAACAAUCAUAUAGGUCGCUUUUUGAAACCCUCUGAUAUGAUCCAUAGGUGUGACUCCAGACAUAGUGCCCCUACAGCAGCAGGCGUACCUGACCUUGGUUUUCACGUUUACAAUAAAAAACACACAAACUGUACCGACAGUGGCGUACCUACCUUUGGUUACCUAUGGUAACGCUCAUGGCUUGGUUAGGUUUAGGAAAAUAUUGUGAUUUGGGUAAAAAUAAGUACUCCCUCAACAUUCAGUUAUUACAUCACCCAGUUAUGGUUAUAACUAACCCUAACAACAAAACGUAACUAUGGGUCAUGAUAACGUGCUGUACAAAUGACAGUCUCGGAGAUUGAUACCACUGUCAUGUCCGUCCAGUCUUUGUGCUAAGGUAAGGUAUCUAACUGCUGCUGCUACUAGCUUCAUAUUUAUUGAGCAGACAUGAGAGUUACCAAACUUAUGUAACUCUCUGCUCCUCUCGGCUCUCCUUCAAUGAACUAAACUGAAUCUAUAUGGUUAAGAUUAGGAGAAGGUGUUUAAGCCACAUAGUUUAAGCGUUUGAAGAAAAAAUAAAAGAAGAACUGUUGUUUUUCUGAUGAGGAAAGUCUCAAAUAGCUAUAGGCAAGACAAGACAGAGAGAAAAAUCAAUAUUGAUCUCUAAAAUAAAGUGUAAAUGGCAUACAAUGCCGUCUCUUUAGCUUAAUUUCAGCACAUUAAAGUGUAAUUGCAUUAAUCUUUUACUUACUUUCCCAUUUAAGGGCUUCUAAAAUCCUUUUAAGUUUUUCCAUUACCUUGCAUCUAUCCUUAAUAUCUGCCCUCUAAUUAAUUUCGUUAGGUGAGCAAUCUCUCCCAUCUCUUCACACAUGCGUGCAUGCCGGAGGCACAUGAAUCAAAAUACAGAUGUACACAGACACACAUACACACCCACACACACAUAGCUUACACACAAAUCCACUGAGACUAAGCUCAAUAUCGGUCUGGUUACAAGCAUACAACUAUAGCCUCUCUGCUUUCAUUUUCCCAAAUGUAGGUUGUCCUAUACGCUCCACCAUAGGGAAUAUCAAUAGACCAACUGUAGUAUUCAAAGAGAUCAAUACUGUAGAAUAUUGUUUCUCUCUCUCUCUCUUUGUGUCACUCUUUUUCUCCUCAGAUCAUAGGAGGCUUUUUAUGUAGAGUCACUGACACAAAUCCUACAUGCUGCAUUUCCCCAAAACACUAAAUUAGAAUUUUGGUGAUCAAUGGUCUGUGUGACCCAAAUAAAAAAGAUGCCCUUGGAUUUAGGUUGAGGCAGUUGUAUGAAAAAUGAAUCUCUUCACAGUGUUCUACUUGGUGAUGAAGACUUACGGACCUUACUUACAAAUCUUAACAGUUUGAGCAAAAUUUUUAACUGUUUGAUUCUCAGUGAUUGACCCCGUUAAUUAGGUCUUUGGAGAGAGACGGAGACAAAGGACCAGCUGGAUAUGCAAAUCAAACCCAACACAAGUAGAACUAUAUUUACAUUUGGGGACAAAACUAAUUAUUAUGUUACUGGUGUAUUAAAAAUGACUCACAGCUUUGCACAGAGAGAAGGCCUGUUUAAUGUACACAUUCAGAAAUACUAGGUAUUUUUGGACAUUUUUAUGUCUUUAUUAAAAAAGUAUGCAUUACAGAAUUAACAGGAAGGAAAUGUGGGCAGAGAGAGGAAAUGACCUUCUGACAUAAAUGAAUCAAAAUGCAAACUGAAUAAUAACACUCAUUUCAGUUUUGUGCAAGUAGGUGUGUAGUGGGUCUCAGUUGUGAUCCUAAUCUCAACCACAACCGCUCUAGAGAUUUAAUGAAAUUACAUUUUUAUAAAAAAUUAAAAUAAUAAACAUAUAAAAUCAUUCAAAGAAGAAAAGCGGACAAGAAUCACUGUAGCUGUUUUAAUGACAAACUGUAACUCUGUGUCAUAUUGUAAUCACAUAAUCUCAUUUGUAGUAUUGUCACAUAAUUCAGUUUGUGUUAUGUUCACAUGAUUUAUGUCCACCAUGAUCAAUUUGUGCUUCAAAUCUGCCUUAUUAGUUUAGGAAUCAUUGCAUGAAAUGGCACUAAGCCUGUUCCAAUCACUAUAAGACAACAUCAUGUCAUUGCCCUGAGAGCAAAGUUGACAAAAACUGAUACAAACACUUUUAGGUGAAACAAAAAUGAGACUAAUAUUCAUGAAAAUGACUUGUGUCUGGUGUUCUUUGUCCAUUUGGCUCUGUGUUUGUUAUCUGUGUACAAUUAAUUGUAAGCGUAAUCAUUCGAUACACAGCGGAUCAAAGGAUCUCUGUGGGGCCUCUGAUACAAGGGAUACACAUCUCCUAGCUAAUUAUUGAUUGGUUACAACAGUCUCUGUAAAUGGUUGUCAGUGCAGAACAGUGAUAAUAGGCAAAUAAUUGUUAUCAGUGUGUAUUAAUGAUUUUGUUAUGGCGUUUUAUGAGUUGGUUUCUUUCUUUUUGUUUCCCUUGUUAAAAUUUUCUUUCUAAUGAGGGGGUAGAGUGUGCCAAUUGGCAUUUAGUCUUUCAUGUCACAACUUCUAAUUUAGCUUGCUGCCUUGCUUUGAAUCAAUACCCCAUUAUUUGAAGUUCAUUAGAAACCUAUUAUUGUUUGACAGUACACUCAUUAAAAUUGUGACCUGGGUGGAUAAUUGAAUUGCAUGCCUAUUAGAAGAGAUGUAUAGAAUAGUAUUUACUUAUUUAUUUUAAUAAGUUGUUUAUUAGAUUGUUCUGUAGGUUCACUUUGUAACAGUUACAGUUUCGAGACCGUUGUUUGCACUUUUUUCUUUAUAUUUUCAAAGGUGUCUAUAUUACUGCACAUGUCAAUUUACUUCCUUUUCUUUCUUUAGAGAAGUUUUAACCUUGUCAACAUGUCCAUAUGGUGUUUUCUUUUUUUUUUUGAUAGUUUCAUGAAAACAGAGAGACAGCCACAGUUUCAUACACCACACACCUAAGGAACCAAUCCUGUCAACUUGCGGGGAUGGUGGGUGGGCAAAAUAAACCUGACACUUCGUCGGUACAGAGAGUGAGAGUUUGCACGAACACAAGCACUAAUGUUUCAGCCACUGCCAGCUAACACACAACAUAAACAAAUAAAGGAUGCUAACUGCGCUAACUGGUCGAAGCUCAAGCUUAUGGUCAAGGGUGUUCCACUUGACGCUCCCCCUGGAGGCCUGGAGCCCUUCCUUUGUGUUGUGUGAGUAUGCAGCACUUUUCUCUGUUGAAUUGUUCGGGGGGGUUUGUGUGUUUUUUUUUUGUUGUUGCAUCGUUUCUGUAGUUGCAGCGUGUUUGCUGUUAUUGUGUUUGUUUUCGCUUUCUGGUGCUGUUGUAUUUGUUUUAUAUUUUUGCAUUUUUGAAUCUACAUCGUUUAUGAAUUUGCACCUUGUUUCUCCAAUUGGAAAUGUUUUGGGCCUUUGCAGCGCGUUUGCCCUUGUCAGCCACCGUAGGAAAACUAUGUUAAACAAAAUAUUAAUCAUGCAGAGUAUUUUUACAGAGUUGAAAACAUGUCUGGAGAGGAACUAGAAAGUAUAUUUUGAUAAAGAAUGUUUUUGCUUAUUUCAUAACAGGUGCUGAGUUCUUCAAAUCUUUCAUAAUACUUUAUGUAAAUUCUGUUUCAUAACGCAUGCCCUACUCUCGACCCAUGGAUGAUUUGUUUCUUCUUUUCUAUGUCUUAUUUUUUGUUGCAUAACCUUGUCUCACUUGUUUGUCUUUAAUUUAAAAGACUUUUUUGUUUAAAAAAAAAGUGCUGAUAUGUGUUUCAAAUUAGUUCUAUUACACAGUAUGUAUACUGACAAAACACAUUAAUGAAAAUAUUCAUGUAUAAUCUAUGUGUGGCACAGGUUUACAAACUGAUUAAGAAUUAUUUAGCUAUUCAUUCGUCCAUUUUCCACUGUAUUCAGGUCGGAGUCACAGAGAUAACAGCUGACCAGUCAUUCCUUACAGCAGCAGCUUCCUUCGGCUCAUCCUCAGCUGAGGUUCUUCAGGGGAUUCUGAGAAGUGAUGUCUGUCCAGGAUGUCUUGGGUGUGUACCAAAGUCUCUUCACAGUCAGUUAUGUCGGGAACACCUUCACGGGAACAUGCCCAGGGGUGUCUCAUUUUCUGUCUGGAGAAGCAACAGCUCCUCACCCUUCAAUCUGCGGCAGGGAAAUCUACAAUCUUUUUCAGACCGACGGUAUUAAGACCUCAGCUGACUCAAUGUAGAAAGAUAGGGCUGGCAGUAGCAGUGCCGCAGCAGCAACCCUGGCAUUGUGGACACGUGUGCCAGCUGCAGCAGUUCAGUGAGGUAGUCGCCACGUCAUGUGAGGCUUUGUGAUCACGAGGCAGAAACGGGUAAGGCUGUAAGUAGAACAGGAAGAAAACACAGAUGCACCAUAGAAGAUAAGAUGGUGUUGAUCAAUAGCUUCAAAUUCUAAUAGGAUUGACCCCCCCCCCCCCCCCCCCAACCAGCAAAUUGCAUUGAUCUGUAACAGAACAAAAGAAUGAGUGGACACAUUAAUGUUUCUGUUGUAGUCAGCAGUCACUUUGUGUGGGAAUGCAUGAUGUUCUCAUACAGUCAGAUUGUUCUUGUUAUACAAGUUUAGAAAGCAUUCAAUGACACUGUAAAAUCAGGAUAAUAUUGAACAUAAUGGAAAAUAUGCAUGAUUUAUAUUACUUCUGAAAAGCCAUGUUCAGUAUUAUCUAACAUUAAAUAAUGUGAAAAUGUCAGCGACUCCUCAACAAUACUCAGCAGAUGUGGAGUCAUACCUUCGCGCUAAUAAGGAGACAGAGCAUUUUAUGACCUCUUUAACUUUUUCUUUCUCAAUACAACAGGAAAAAAAGUGCAAGAACUUCCUAGAUAACAGAAUUAUGCAUCAAUCAAAUUCAGCGGAUGCAUUUUGAAACUAACCUUUAAAGUCGCUCUGUUCUGCACAGUUAAUUGCAGAGCUGGCGAACUCCAGCAGGGCCAAUAAUUCUCAAGAUCAGGCCACAGGUCAUUGGCUUCAAACGGUUGAGCCAGUAUACUUGAUCAUCACUUUAUGGCUGCCCUCUUCAGCUGUGGAUGAAUAUGUUACAUAGAUGAAACAAUUUACUGUACAGGCCUGGCAGGAAACUGACAACUGUUUCCUCCAAAAUCACACGAACAUAAACACUCUCUAAACACAGUCCCUGAAUGCCUCCUAUAUUGUAUAGCUUAGAUUUAUUUGCGUAGAUAGAUUGUUGGAUGAAAUGCCAGACUUGCUUGUUUACUGUGCAAAGACAAGGGACGGUUCUCAUCUUUGGUUCUUUCACGUCAAGUCUGGCCAUCAGUUAUAAAUAAUAAUAUUCUUUACAGAGUGUUGAAAGUCAUUUCUUGCGGCGCAGUGACCCAGUAUGACAUAUCGACGGAUUGAAGUCAAGGAGUCAGACUGAAGAUGAGUUCAAAACCUACUCUGCUUCCUCUGUCCAUUCGCCAGUGUUACAUGCAGCAUAUUACAUAUUGAAAAGCCUUCAUUUGAAACAUAU